Molecule: long non-coding RNA, 1206 nt
Filed under: Mustela putorius furo (domestic ferret)
Lineage: Eukaryota; Metazoa; Chordata; Mammalia; Carnivora; Mustelidae
Description: lncRNA (ENSMPUG00000031444.1)
Source: RNAcentral
AUUUUUUAAAGAAUUUAUUUAUUUAUUUGAAAGAGAGACAGAAGGAACUUGAGUAGGGGGAGGGGCAGAGGGAGAGAAAGAGAAGCAGUCUCCCUUCUGAGUCGGGUGGAGCCGGACCUGGGGCUCCAUGCCAAGACCCUGGGAUCAAGACCCUGAGCCAAAGUCAGAUGUCUACCUGCCUAAGCCACCCAGGAACCCCAGAAGAUGUUAUUUUAUAAUAAGCUACUGUCCUUGAAAGAUAUUAAAAUCAUCUCAGUGAAGAGCCGAGAGAGGAAAUGGACAAAAAAAUUUCCAAGGUGGAAGUCUUUUAAAUAAGUUUGUGGAAUAGUGACUUAUUUAUAAUUUCUCCAUAAAGAAGAAGCCCUGUCCUAUAAAUCUUUUCAUACUGAAUCCCUUUGUCUUCCUCUCUUGGAAUAGAAGCUUACUGGGUUGAAGAAGAAAGCCUUUCAUAACAGUGCCACUGGGUAGAGUAGAGGCAGACUUGCAUUCUGAAUGGUUGAGUUAGUGUUUCAUGAAGUCUGCCCUUUGCUCCAUUUUUAAUAGAGACUCUGUCUCCCUGAGCUACUGACAAUGAUUCUUGAAGUUCUUGAUUCUUAAAGUUCUCUUUUGAGGAUAACAUCUGGUUAAACAGGUUAUUUUCCCUCAUUCAGGUGUAAUGUUUUCAAGGGUUUAUGCUAAUUAUGUUCUUUUCUUCCCAGAAGAAACUUAAAGCCAGAUUUGGAUCUUAAUCUGAAUGAGAUCAGCUGCUUGGACACUUGAGCUCCUGGCUAGUCUGUGACCAGCAAAGCAGCGUGGAUGUCAGGUGAGGACUGUAGAAUGGCAGAGUUUUAGGACUCCAGACCCUGCCUCUUACUAGACCCCCAGGUGACUGUAUAAGCUUAAGAAUCUGAGAAGCACUGCUCUCAGCUUCUCUAUAAGCUGCACUAAAGAAUGGGGUCCAGAAAGUUCCAGUCUGGGGGUUCUUGGGGCACUGAGAUGGCCUUUGGCAAAUUAUCGCAUUUCACCACUUGCUAUUGGCAACAUCUGGAAAAGCCUACUUGACAAAGAUCCUUAUAUCUUUUGGCAAUGUACCAAAAAGACUCUAAAAAUAGCAUUUUGUACAAAUUCUCCAAAACAUGACAUGUCUAUUAAUGACUUUGGUUUGGUUUCUCUGGGAACAAAGCCAGUUUUUCUAGGAUUAUGGAGCUAACAGGUCAGACAUUGUUG